CCUACGGGUGGCUGCAGUGGGGAAUAUUGGACAAUGGGGGCAACCCUGAUCCAGCCAUGCCGCGUGUGUGAAGAAGGCCCUCGGGUUGUAAAGCACUUUCAGUGAGGAAGAACGCCUGGUGGUUAAUACCCAUCAGGAAAGACAUCACUCACAGAAGAAGCACCGGCUAACUCCGUGCCAGCAGCCGCGGUAAUACGGAGGGUGCGAGCGUUAAUCGGAAUUACUGGGCGUAAAGCGCGCGUAGGUGGCUUGAUAAGCCGGUUGUGAAAGCCCCGGGCUCAACCUGGGAACGGCAUCCGGAACUGUCAAGCUAGAGUGCAGGAGAGGAAGGUAGAAUUCCCGGUGUAGCGGUGAAAUGCGUAGAGAUCGGGAGGAAUACCAGUGGCGAAGGCGGCCUUCUGGACUGACACUGACACUGAGGUGCGAAAGCGUGGGUAACAAACAGGAUUAGAUACCCGGGUAGUC
This 465-nucleotide ribosomal RNA is filed under the name Vreelandella stevensii. Its description in RNAcentral is "partial 16S ribosomal RNA". It matches the Rfam family "Bacterial small subunit ribosomal RNA", at positions 338 to 795 of the family's 1533-position model. Lineage: Bacteria; Pseudomonadati; Pseudomonadota; Gammaproteobacteria; Oceanospirillales; Halomonadaceae. The record is from RNAcentral.